RNAcentral lists this long non-coding RNA (586 nucleotides) under Cotesia glomerata. RNAcentral describes it as "uncharacterized LOC123267671". Lineage: Eukaryota; Metazoa; Arthropoda; Insecta; Hymenoptera; Braconidae. The record is from RNAcentral.
GUUGAAUUACUCAGGAAUAACUUUUUUGAUGUUAACUUUUUCAAUUACUUGAAUUAUGGUGUAAUUGGUGAAAUCAUCGGUCAUGAAUUAAGUCAUACCGUAGAUAGUGAAAGUAGACUAUUGAAAAAGACUGCGUUAAAAUUUAAAUGGAGUAAUUCAUCGAAUGAUGAAUAUCAAAAGCAGGAGACUUGUAUGAUCAAUCAAUAUCAAAACUAUUUUACCGUAAAUAAAAUUAAGCUCAACGCUACAAAUUACUUAGCUGAAAAUAUUGCCGAUAAUAUUGGAAUAUAAAUAGCUUACUUGGCCUACCAAGAUUGGGUCGCUCAAAACGGUCAUGAGCCAAAUUUACCCGGACUGUCGUACACACCCAAUCAAUUAUUCUGGAUAUCAUUCGCUAAUAAAUGGUGUCAAUCAAAAUCGAUAUUAUCGAAUUUAGACGACAAGGAACUUUAUGCUCCUAAUGAUAAACGAGUGAUUGGACCGCUUUCAAACAGCAUAGAGUUUUCAAAAGAUUUCAACUGUCCCGUUGGAUCGAACAUGAAUCCUUUAAACAAGUGUGCUUUUUUCUGAAAAUAUCUGUUGUGGU